RNAcentral lists this long non-coding RNA (257 nucleotides) under Elaeis guineensis (African oil palm). Its description in RNAcentral is "long non-coding RNA (EGUI_LNC021641)". The record is from RNAcentral. Lineage: Eukaryota; Viridiplantae; Streptophyta; Magnoliopsida; Arecales; Arecaceae.
AACCUUCGAUUUGGAGAACUUAGGAACUGUUGGCCUCAGCUUUUCGAUGGUUGUCUUCGAUUCGAGCAGCUUCGAUUGUGAUUGGGGUUCACACAUCGUCAUCUUCUUUCUUUUUGGAGGCCCCGACUCUAGAAGUGGCAUCGAGCUCUCCUUCCUCUUCAGCAGCUUCAUAGCAACAUUACUUGUGAGAUCUUUGAAAUUAAGCUUCAUUUUUGUGACAACAGAAAUGACGACCACCGAUUAGCUACAAAUAACCA